This 546-nucleotide ribosomal RNA is filed under the name uncultured bacterium. RNAcentral's name for it is "bacterial SSU rRNA". It matches the Rfam family "Bacterial small subunit ribosomal RNA", at positions 355 to 896 of the family's 1533-position model. The record is from RNAcentral.
UGGGGAAUAUUGCGCAAUGGGGGGAACCCUGACGCAGCCAUGNCGCGUGAAUGAAGAAGGCCUUCGGGUUGUAAAGUUCUUUCGGUAUUGAGGAAGGUUGAUGUGUUAAUAGCACAUCAAAUUGACGUUAAAUACAGAAGAAGCACCGGCUAACUCCGUGCCAGCAGCCGCGGUAAUACGGAGGGUGCGAGCGUUAAUCGGAAUAACUGGGCGUAAAGGGCACGCAGGCGGUUAUUUAAGUGAGGUGUGAAAGCCCCGGGCUUAACCUGGGAAUUGCAUUUCAGACUGGGUAACUAGAGUACUUUAGGGAGGGGUAGAAUUCCACGUGUAGCGGUGAAAUGCGUAGAGAUGUGGAGGAAUACCGAAGGCGAAGCNAGCCCCUUGGGAAUGUACUGACGCUCAUGUGCGAAAGCGUGGGGAGCAAACAGGAUUAGAUACCCUGGUAGUCCACGCUGUAAACGCUGUCGAUUUGGGGGUUGGGGUUUAACUCUGGCGCCCGUAGCUAACGUGAUAAAUCGACCGCCUGGGGAGUACGGCCGCAAGUUA